AAAUGACACCGUGCUUUUUUAUCUUUUCCUUCAAUUCUGAAGAGGUAUGGUCUCAAUUUCAUACACACAUGGCAGGGACCACACCACUUUCCUCAUCCUACAUGGCGCCUACAUCAGCAAGCAAAUCCAGAAGCUUCUAGAAGCUUCUGGAAGAGGUUAAGGUGGCACCGAAGAUGCUUCUCCAGACAAAAAGGACGACACGUGUCACCAUUAAUCGAACGCCAUGUAGACCUGCGACACAACCUGGGGGCAGACCGACAGCUGCGGUACGAAUUCUCCUGCAUGGACAAAUAACGGCGCGCCACGUGGACCACUAUCCUAACCACAGCAGAGGAGACCAAGAUGAUAUUCCCCUUGGUCGGACAGAUGGCGCCCGGUAACAGCUGGCAAGGUCUCUCCUCCCUCCUUCACCCUCCGGCUAUAAAUAGGACCAUUCAUCAUUCAGGAUCUCGGUCUUAGACGAGCGAAAAAGGAGAUUGAACCCACAUAAGAGACAACCCAGCUAGUUAACCUUGGUAUUAACCAGUGUUUCAUCAAAUUCGUACGUUUUGUAUGUUAGGUUUAUUUGUAUUUGAUCUUUAUCCAAAAAACGUAAUUUAUAUAUAUGACUUAUAUAUGAUAUUGUAAUGUGAUGCCAAAUAUGACAUAAAAUGGUGGGUGAUCUUCA
Long non-coding RNA from Helianthus annuus (common sunflower), 667 nucleotides. RefSeq lists it as uncharacterized. The record is from RefSeq and is a predicted model, not a curated record. The transcript has 2 exons. NCBI's taxonomy places the organism in Eukaryota, Viridiplantae, Streptophyta, Magnoliopsida, Asterales, Asteraceae.